UAGAUGAGAUAGCGAAAUGAGUGACCUUCAAUAGAAGAGAUAUUAAAUUGAAUGAUGACUUGCCAACUUGCCAUUAAGGAUGAGAUAAAAAAAAAAAAAGACUGACCUUUAAUAUAAGAGAUAUUAAAGUAAAUGAUAACUUGCCAUUAAGGAUGAGAUAGAAAAAAGAGUGACCUUCAAUAGUUUGGGCUUACAUUAAUUUUUAUUGGUUUUAUUAAAAGUGAAAAUUACAUGAAAUAUGGGUUUUUAAAAACAUUUUACUUAAAUAUGGCUUUUUUAAGUUUGGCCACAUUUUAUGGUAUUUUUUAUUUCUGAACUUUUAUAUGGUAUAUAGUAUGCCAUAUUUUUGUUAUUAUUAGUUUUCAAUACCAUAUUUUAUUUUUCAAAUCCUAAUUUUUCAUACUUGUUUUUCUCGCUGUUUUAUUUUUGGUCAGCCACUGCCUUUCUCACGCCGAAGAGUAUCAUCGUGGCCACACCCCCAUCCAAGACGACGCCAUCUCUGCUGAAAGUAUACCAAUGAGAUUGUCGCAGGUGAUGGUGAGGUUGACGAGGCUGGUGAAACUGCAGUAUUUAUCAUUGUUCCUGGUGGAAGCACCAAAAGGGUGGGCAACAUUUAGGAACAUCCUGACUGAGAUUAAUGAAGCAUUAUGGACCUAACUAGUGACUUUUCGGUAAUGAAGACAACUCCGACGACUUUUUUGAUGAUUUUUCGACAACGAUAACAACUUUGACGAAUAUUCUCAUUCUAUUUUCUGUUUUUUUAUUUGCGACUAAUAUUUUAUUUUAGUAGAUAAUGACUAUUUUAGAUAGUGUUGGGUUGAUAGUUAAGUCUUGAAGCUUUUAAAAAGUUUGUAAUUAGUUUUAUUUUGGCAUUGUAUUUGAUUUGUUCAAUAUUCCAUACAAUAUCUAGAAUACAAGCAUGUAAAAUUUAUUUAUAAUUUUUAGUAUUUGUAACUGGUUUUUAUUCAUUAAGAGAACAACUCUAGCGAAUGUACUCUCA
Long non-coding RNA from Cannabis sativa, 1000 nucleotides. RefSeq lists it as uncharacterized. NCBI's taxonomy places the organism in Eukaryota, Viridiplantae, Streptophyta, Magnoliopsida, Rosales, Cannabaceae. The transcript has 2 exons. The record is from RefSeq and is a predicted model, not a curated record.